GACGAACGCUGGCGGCGUGCUUAACACAUGCAAGUCGAACGGAAAGGCCCUGCUUUUGUGGGGUGCUCGCGUGGCGAGCGGGUGAGUAACACGGGAGUAACCUGCCCUUGACUUUGGGAUAACUUCAGGCAACUGGGGCUACUACCGGAUAGGAGCUCCUGCUGCAUGGUGGGGGUUGGACAGUUUCGGCGGUGGUGGAUGGACUCGCGGCUUAUCAGCUUGUUGGUGGGGUAGUGGCUUACCAAGGCUUUGACGGGUAGCCGGCCUUAGAGGGUGACCGGCCACCUGGGGACUGAGGUACGGCCCAGACUCCUACGGGGGGCAGCAGGGGGGAAUAUUGCACAAUGGGCGGAAGUCUGAUGCAGCAACGCCGCGUGUGUGAUGACGGCCUUCUGGUUGUAAACCGCUUUCGCCUGUGACGAAGCGUGAGUGACGGUAAUGGGUAAAGAAGCACCGGCUAACUACGUG
RNAcentral lists this ribosomal RNA (468 nucleotides) under uncultured bacterium. RNAcentral describes it as "partial 16S ribosomal RNA". It matches the Rfam family "Bacterial small subunit ribosomal RNA", at positions 28 to 507 of the family's 1533-position model. The record is from RNAcentral.